AAAAAGAACACGGAAAUACCUGAUAGCGAUCUCCACGGCUGGCAUGAAUGAUAUCAAGUAUGCCUACUUUCUUUUCUGUGCAUCUUCUACACCGGGCCUCAGUCAUCUAGUUAAAACAAACAGAAACACAAAUUAAACUUUGGCUGAAAACUCGGUUACUGUACUGGAUAUUCUUCAUUAUCUGGCCCUGGCAGAUUGUGAACUUAAUGCAUAUGAUGUAUAAUACCUACAGCUGCCUUGAUUCUUCUGAUUCAGACGCUAUCUCUGCUGGUGUCAACCCAGCCUGAAAUGAUUAGGAAGCGAGUAAUUCUAGAAUUUAGAGAAAAUACGCACUCAAAAGGGAGUAAUCAAACUGAAUCAAGAGAAAAUUAUAAUGACAGCAAGAAUUUGUCGAAGUGGUCUCCUGGCUCAACAGGUGGUUUCAGAAAAGAGGGGACAUAUCUAGUCUGAAACACUCACUACGUGCAAUUCUGGACAAUUGUGCAAGUGCAACUGACUAGUAUCCUUCACAAUUUGAGGUUGAAAACUCAAUUAGUAAGGGGAAACAAAGAAAAUAAAUCCCAGAAACAGUAACGUCUGAAGCUCUUCAAUUUUUCUAAACAUUGCUCGAAUAAAUUUUAGACUAACUUCCGAAAUAUGAAGGACUUCUGAUAUUUAAUAAUGCAGGUGCUUGAACCAAAUCAGUCCAGUACAUGCCCCUGUUCAGAUUUAAUAGUUAAAUGCUUUCAACUAAACAGAACCAUUUCGGUCUCAGCAACCAUGAUUAGAUUAUAAGAGUACUAACGCACCACAAAAACUAAUCUAAUCACUAAUGUGAAGAGAUGGAAAAUGGUCACUGUGAAGACCAAAAUGAAAAUAAGAUGAUUAGACCUUUAGUUCGUCAGGGGUCAUCGUUAACAGAACCGGAGGAUCAAGCGCCUUGUCCAUUAGUCGCUUGCACAGUACAGAACUUUUCUGCAUAUCCAGAAAAUCAAUGAUCUGUCAAUUUCUCGAAUAAUAAGACUAUACAAGUGUAGAACAUGUGACUUAAAAAUGGCUAAGGACGCAUCAUAAACUGCUGAAUAGUACAUAUGACAUUGUCAUUAUGGAACGGCAGUACUGUAAUUAUAACAACAAUAUAAUAACAAUAAAAGGCGCCAUAGAAUUACAUUAUACAGUUCCAAACUACUAAAAUCUACCAGGUUUGUAGCCUGAAGAACUAUGGUUAGCAGUAAAAACUUAGUUCGAGAAAAAAUGCCUAGUCUCACCCAAAUAAAAAAAGGUAGUUAUAGAAAAGCCUAAUAUUGAUGUAAGAUCAUUAUAUCUUUGGAAGGGUGAACAGGCAAAACAAAGACUCCUGCCAUGAACUGUGCCUUGCCACACUUCCUUAGCAUUGUUAUAGUAGCAACUAGCAAGAGCACAGCUAAUUCUGAUUUGGGACUCUUGUUUCUGGGCUAUGAUGGAUGCAGCUGGCCAGGCUUCACCUCUUAUUUACAGCUGAAAGCAACUAGGUCACAAGCACCUCAGUAGCUUUCUUACAUCCUAAGAAAUCUUGACUUGACCCACUGACAUGUAGCCUAAGACACGGACUCGACUCACUAGCUUACAACCUAAGGAAAAGACUUGACUGAUUGACUGACUGCUGCAAGUUCUUCCCCUAACCCUUGCAAAUCAGACAUGAAUUGAUUUGGACAAUCCCAAUCCUAGCACGCAGCUCAUGGAAUUUCACCCGCCCUAAUGCUUUCGUUUUGGCGUUGACACUCCCAUCCACCAAGCAAUCCCGGAUGAAAUGGUACCGUACGUCGAUAUGUUUGCUGCAUUAGUGGAAGACUGAGUUCUUGGCCAGCACCAAGGCGGACUUGUCGUCCACCAUAGCUGAUGCGGAGCAUCCCUCGACCAUCCCGUCACCACCGCAAGCACGAAGAGGACCAAUGACGAGAGCUCGCGCACGUGCCGUCGAAACCGAGGUUAACUCCUUCCUCUUCGAAUUCCAUUCGAAUUCACACGAGAGUUGGGUCCUACCUCAAACGGAAGUGUUGUGCAUUCUUAGGUACCAAGGAGAAACCCAUGAAGAAGUUAGGAGGGAUACCCAAGCACACAUGGAGAAGAAGGAAGAAGGACGUGAAGGAACGGAACCUCUGGACACCCCGGGUGCCCGGACACGAGGCCGUGGGGUGGGCAAACCCCCCUGGACACCCCGGGUGCCCGGCCAUCGCCACCUGGGCGCCGCCCCUGCCUGCUUCGGGUGCCCGGCCCUUUGGCCCCUGGUGCCCGGGUCCCUCUCCAGCCGCCAGCCGCCGCGCCCCGGGUGCUCGGGCUCCUCUCCAGCCGCCAACCGCGGCCCCGGGUGCCCGAGCCCUCAACCCCCGAGUGCCCGGUCCCCCUCCAGCCGGCCCUCUGCUCGGUCCGGGUGCACCUGGCCCUCUUCGCCCCGAUUGCCCGGGCUCCCUUAGGCGCCAGCCCCUGUCCCCUUUUCCCCGGGUGCCUGGACUCCACCAUUUUGCCUGCACGCAAUUAAGGCUAAAAGACCCUUGUACCCCUCUUCCUCUUAUUUCGUCCCUAGACUAUAAGUACCCAUCACCUAGCUUGUUCUAGAGGUUAGCAAAGUAUUUGAUAGACACUAGAGAGCUUUGCUCCUUGUAUCCCCUCCUCUUGGAGAGCAAGACCCCUCAUUGGGAAGAAUCCUUGUGGAUUAUCAAGGCCUCCUCUUGGAGAAGAUCAACAUCAAGACGUCAUCUCCUUGCAGUGGGAAGAACUUUACCCUAGUGCUAUUUUCCUUGAAAUGUUCUUGUAUACUUGUGGAUCUCAUGUACGCUACUCUAGUGGAUGUGUGAUUUGGGUUUGUUUGAGUGAUUUCUCCCUUGUGUUCUUAUGUGUUCAUCACUUUUUUCCCCCUCCAAGUGUGAAAAGAUUCCUUCUAGGGUUUCACCCUACAACAAUAGCUCGACUGCCUCAGCUUCUUCCCCAUGAAGUUAACUAAAGAGCCGAGCCAACCAAAGUCCUUGUGUUGUGGCUGCUACCUCACAGGAGAACAGAGCCACCACUACUCGCUGCUUGAGCGACUCCAACUCACCAAACAACUACCAAGGAAGAACACCGUGCCACUCGUGCUCUUCCGGGUGCCAAUAUCACCGUCAAGGUCACUGUCGCUAUAGUCAAUCCUCCGCGCGUGGCGUAGACCGUAGUGGCUGGUGCCAGCAACAUAGCGAAGGAUGAGCUUCACUACCAUCAUGUGCUCCUAUGCAGGUUGCUCCAUGAAGUGACUCACGAAUGCGAUGGCAAACGCUAGGUCCGGCCGUGUGGGGAGAAGGUAGCGGAGGCUGUUAACGAUCCUCAUAUACUCUGCGGCAUCCGCCUUUUCCGUCAUGCUCUCACGCCUCAGUUUGAGUCACUCCUCCAUCGGAGUGUGAGCUGGGUUGCAGCCUUCCAUUCCUCCAAGCUGAAGUAUGUGUGAAGCAUAGUGUGCCUGACAUAGGCUGAUGCCAUCGCCAUCUUGCUAGACUUCGAUUCCGAGAUAGAAUGACAACAGUCCAAAGUCACUCAUCUGGACUUUUGCUUUCAUCUCGUCAUUAAAGCUCUCCACUGGUCCCUUGGAUGAACCAGUCAUGAUCAAAUCAUCUAACUCCAAUGAGCAGGAUUUCGUCGCCAGUGAUGCACCGGUUGAUCACGUGCUCAUGCUCGCUCGGUUUGAAGCAAAUUUCAUUGAGCGUGCAAUCCAGUUUUGUAUUCCAUGCUCGUGGUGCCUACGUAAGGCCAUAGAGGGCCUUACGCAGCUGCGGACUUUUCCUUCUUCUCCAGCAAUGAUGAAACCAGGCGGCUGCUUCAUGUAGACCACCUCCUUCAAUUCUCCAUUAAAUAUGGUGGACGGGCCACCUCUUGUGGGCAGCCAAAGCAAGCAGCAGCCGAAAUCAGUGCCAGCUUGCUGGACGUAACCUCGUGCGACCAACCGUGCUUUUUGCUUGAUCACCUUGCCAGCUUCAAUUUUUCUUCAAUUUGUAGACCCAUUUGCCCAUGUGGUAGAUCGGUGAGCUCCCAUGUCAUGUUUUGCUCCAUCGGGUCCAUUUCCUCACGCAUGGCUGGUUGCCAUGCCUUGUCUCUCUCAGCUUCUGCAAACAAGCACGGCUACAAGUGUAGCUCGGCGUCAAGGUUGCGCGGUGCAAGUCCUGGCAGUAGUUCUCCUCCAUUCAGAUUCUUGACUGUGUGAUAGCGAACUGGUGUGUCCCAGUGAGCAACAUCGAGUCGAUCAUCAUCGUUUGCUGGUGGUGUGACAAAUUCUGGAGUUGCUGGAGCUAGUACGACAAGUGAAGUACUUCGUCCCAUGUCCUGUUGACGCAGGCUCAGCUCCCCCUGCGCUGGAUGCAUAGUUGAGUGCCUUCACUCCGUGACGACAAAUGUACUGGACAUCAAAGUCGCUGUCCGAGUGUGCACCGCCAUCGGCUGCCGAAUCCCAGCCACAUUCUUCGUUGAAGAUGACGGGCAUGCGGAUGCGCCGCGUCACAGGGUCCAGCAGCUGGUACGCCUUCACACCAUCUUCAUAGCCGGUGAACACAACGGGGGAGCUGUGCUCGUCAAGCUUACACAGGUUCCCCUGCUCCUUGACAUACGCUAAGCACCCAAAGGUGCGAAGGUAGUGGACAGCCGGAUUGCGGCCGUGCCACGAGUCGUAAGGCGUCAUUCCAGCAAGGGAUUUGGUGGGAGCAUGGUUGAGCAGGAAGACAGCAGUGCUCACAGACUCCCCCCAAAAUUCAGCCAGCAUGCUCCUCUGUUUCAGAGGAGCACAUGCCAUUGCCACCACUGUCUGGUUCCGCCGCUCGACGACACCAUUCUGUUGCGGCGCUUAAGGUGCGGAGAAGUGGCGUUGGCUGCCUUCAUCGGCAGAAUAGGUAGCAAACUCCGUUGAGGUAAACUCGCCACCGUUAUCCGUGCGGAACAGUUUACAUCCGCUCUGAGCUUCUGCCGCUACCUGAAUUCUUUUGAUGGAUCAGGUGCACUAUUCUUGGCAGCCAGGAGCAUCACCCACAUGCAGCGAGUGGCAUCGUCCACCAGCAGCAAGAAAUAGCGUCCUCCAGGUAUGGCCGGCGAAACAGGACCAUAGAGGUCACCAUGGACGAAUUCAAGUAGCUCAUGCGCGUGGUACCUUGCUUGCCAAGGAAAUGUGCCGCGACAAUGCUUGGCGAUGACACACAUGUCGCAAAGCUGCUCCACAUGAUCCAACCAUGGCAGCCCACGUGUCAUGCGAGGCAUCCCAUCUUCUCCAACGCGUCGAAAUUGAGUGGUCCAUAUCUCUCACCAAGCGAUGUCAUCAUGGCAUGCAGAGAGACAUAUUGGCUGGGCCACCUAAAGAUGUAGGAGGUAAAGGUAAUUCCGCCCACGCCCAACCCAAACAAGGAAUUGACCUUGCUGGUCCAGAUUCGAAGCACACCUCUUCUGAUCAGCACACAUGAGUCGCUCUCAUCG
This 5436-nucleotide long non-coding RNA is filed under the name Triticum aestivum (bread wheat). RNAcentral describes it as "long non-coding RNA (TAES_LNC025609)". Lineage: Eukaryota; Viridiplantae; Streptophyta; Magnoliopsida; Poales; Poaceae. The record is from RNAcentral.